GACGAACGCUGGCGGCGUGCUUAACACAUGCAAGUCGAACGGAAAGGCCCUGCUUUUGUGGGGUGCUCGAGUGGCGAACGGGUGAGUAACACGUGAGUAACCUGCCCUUGACUUUGGGAUAACUUCAGGAAACUGGGGCUAAUACCGGAUAGGAGCUCCUGCUGCAUGGGGGGGGUUGGAAAGUUUCGGCGGUUGGGGAUGGACUCGCGGCUUAUCAGCUUGUUGGUGGGGUAGUGGCUUACCAAGGCUUUGACGGGUAGCCGGCCUGAGAGGGUGACCGGCCACAUUGGGACUGAGAGACGGCCCAGACUGCUACGGGAGGCAGCAGUGGGGAAUAUUGCACAACGGGCGGAAGCCUGAUGCAGCAACGCCGCGUGCGGGAUGACGGCCUUCGAGUUGUAAACCGCUUUCGCCUGUGACGAAGCGUGAGUGACGGUAAUGGGUAAAGAAGCACCGGCUAACUACGUG
This 468-nucleotide ribosomal RNA is filed under the name uncultured bacterium. RNAcentral describes it as "partial 16S ribosomal RNA". It matches the Rfam family "Bacterial small subunit ribosomal RNA", at positions 28 to 507 of the family's 1533-position model. The record is from RNAcentral.